CAGGCCUAACACAUGCAAGUCGAGGGGCAGCAUGAGAUUAGCUUGCUAAUCUUGAUGGCGACCGGCGCACGGGUGAGUAACGCGUAUCCAACCUUCCCCUUAGUAGGGCAUAGCCCGGCGAAAGUCGGAUUAAUACCCUAUGUUGUAUAUUGAGGACAUCUGAUUUAUACUAAAGAUUUAUCGCUAAGGGAUGGGGAUGCGUCUGAUUAGGUGGUAGGCGGGGUAACGGCCCACCUAGCCGACGAUCAGUAGGGGUUCUGAGAGGAAGGUCCCCCACAUUGGAACUGAGACACGGUCCAAACUCCUACGGGAGGCAGCAGUGAGGAAUAUUGGUCAAUGGGCGCGAGCCUGAACCAGCCAAGUAGCGUGGGGGAUGACUGCCCUAUGGGUUGUAAACCCCUUUUGCGCGGGGAUAAACCGGCGGACGUGUCCGUCGCUGCAGGUACCGCGCGAAUAAGGACCGGCUAAUUCCGUGCCAGCAGCCGCGGUAAUACGGAAGGUCCGGGCGUUAUCCGGAUUUAUUGGGUUUAAAGGGAGCGUAGGCGGGAGAUUAAGCGUGCUGUGAAAUCCGGCGGCUCAACCGUCGCGAGCAGCGCGAACUGGUUUCCUUGAGUGCGCGGGAGGCAGGCGGAAUUCGUGGUGUAGCGGUGAAAUGCUUAGAUAUCACGAAGAACCCCGAUUGCGAAGGCAGCCUGCCGUAGCGUUACUGACGCUGAAGCUCGAAGGUGCGGGUAUCGAACAGGAUUAGAUACCCUGGUAGUCCGCACGGUAAACGAUGGAUGCCCGCUGUCCGCGCUCGUCGUGGGUGGCCAAGCGAAAGCGUUAAGCAUCCCACCUGGGGAGUACGCCGGCAACGGUGAAACUCAAAGGAAUUGACGGGGGCCCGCACAAGCGGAGGAACAUGUGGUUUAAUUCGAUGAUACGCGAGGAACCUUACCCGGGCUUGAAUUGCAGAGGAAUGUCUGAGAGAUCAGUCAGCCCUUCGGGGUCUCUGUGAAGGUGCUGCAUGGUUGUCGUCAGCUCGUGCCGUGAGGUGUCGGCUUAAGUGCCAUAACGAGCGCAACCCCUCUCCGUAGUUGCCAUCGGGUAAUGCCGGGCACUCUGCGGACACUGCCACCGCAAGGUGCGAGGAAGGUGGGGACGACGUCAAAUCAGCACGGCCCUUACGUCCGGGGCUACACACGUGUUACAAUGGGGCAUACAGAGAGCCUGGCCGCCGGCGACGUCGGCCGAAUCAUUAAAGUGCCCCUCAGUUCGGAUUGGGGUCUGCAACCCGACCCCAUGAAGCUGGAUUCGCUAGUAAUCGCGCAUCAGCCAUGGCGCGGUGAAUACGUUCCCGG
Molecule: ribosomal RNA, 1340 nt
Filed under: uncultured rumen bacterium
Lineage: Bacteria
Description: bacterial SSU rRNA
Rfam family: Bacterial small subunit ribosomal RNA
Source: RNAcentral